This 402-nucleotide unclassified non-coding RNA is filed under the name soil metagenome. RNAcentral's name for it is "partial contains 5.8S ribosomal RNA, internal transcribed spacer 2, and large subunit ribosomal RNA". The stretch from base 1 to 121 matches the Rfam family "5.8S ribosomal RNA", at positions 35 to 154 of the family's 154-position model. The record is from RNAcentral.
GAUGAAGAACGUAGCGAAAUGCGAUAAGUAAUGUGAAUUGCAGAAUUCAGUGAAUCAUCGAAUCUUUGAACGCACCUUGCGCCCUUUGGCUAUUCCGAAGGGCAUGCCUGUUUGAGUAUCAUGAACACCUCAACUCUCAUGGUUUGCCAUGAUGAGCUUGGACUCUGGGGGUCUUGCUGGCCUAUGGUCAGCUCCUCUCAAAUAAAUCAGCUUGCCAGUGUUUAGUGGCAUCACAGGUGUGAUAACUAUCUACGCUUGUGGUUUUACAUCAGGUAACCUUCAGUGAUGGAGGUUCGCUGGAGCUCAUAAAUGUCCCUCCUCAGCGAGGACAGCUUUUUGAACGUUUGAUCUCAAAUCAGGUAGGAUUACCCGCUGAACUUAAGCAUAUCAAUAAGCGGAGGA